RNAcentral lists this ribosomal RNA (484 nucleotides) under uncultured bacterium. RNAcentral describes it as "partial 16S ribosomal RNA". It matches the Rfam family "Bacterial small subunit ribosomal RNA", at positions 30 to 507 of the family's 1533-position model. The record is from RNAcentral.
AUUGAACGCUAGCGGGAUGCUUUACACAUGCAAGUCGAACGGCAGCGCGGACUUCGGUCUGGCGGCGAGUGGCGAACGGGUGAGUAAUGUAUCGGAACGUGCCCAGUAGCGGGGGAUAACUACGCGAAAGCGUAGCUAAUACCGCAUACGCCCUACGGGGGAAAGCAGUGGAUCGUAAGACCUUGCACUAUUGGAUCGGCCGGUAUCGGAUUAGCUAGUUGGUGAGGUAACGGCUCACCAAGGCGACGAUCCGUAGCAGGUCUGAGAGGACGACCAGCCACACUGGGACUGAGACACGGCCCAGACUCCUACGGGAGGCAGCAGUGGGGAAUUUUGGACAAUGGGGGAAAGCCUGAUCCAGCAAUCCCGCGUGUGCGAUGAAGGCCUUCGGGUUGUAAAGCACUGUUGGCAAGAAAGAAACGUCGCGGGCUAAUACCUCGUGGAACUGACGGUACCUGCAGAAUAAGCACCGGCUAACUACGUG